This 639-nucleotide ribosomal RNA is filed under the name uncultured actinomycete. RNAcentral describes it as "bacterial SSU rRNA". It matches the Rfam family "Bacterial small subunit ribosomal RNA", at positions 232 to 885 of the family's 1533-position model. Lineage: Bacteria; Bacillati; Actinomycetota; Actinomycetes; Actinomycetales. The record is from RNAcentral.
CACGGCCUAUCAGCUUGUUGGUGAGGUAACGGCUCACCAAGGCAACGACGGGUAGCUGGUCUGAGAGGACGAUCAGCCACACUGGGACUGAGACACGGCCCAGACUCCUACGGGAGGCAGCAGCAGGGAAUCUUGCGCAAUGGACGAAAGUCUGACGCAGCGAUGCCGCGUGGGGGAUGACGGCCUUCGGGUUGUAAACCCCUUUCAGGAGGGACGAAAUUGACGGUACCUCCAGAAGAAGCCCCGGCCAACUACGUGCCAGCAGCCGCGGUAAUACGUAGGGGGCGAGCGUUGUCCGGAAUUAUUGGGCGUAAAGAGCUCGUAGGCGGCUUGGUAAGUCGGCCGUGAAAACCAAAGGCUCAACCUUUGGAUGUCGGUCGAUACUGCCAUGGCUAGAGUCCGGUAGAGGAGAGUGGAAUUCCCGGUGUAGCGGUGAAAUGCGCAGAUAUCGGGAGGAACACCAGUAGCGAAGGCGGCUCUCUGGGCCGGAACUGACGCUGAGGAGCGAAGGCGUGGGUAGCAAACAGGAUUAGAUACCCUGGUAGUCCACGCCGUAAACGUUGGGUACUAGGUGUGGCGUCUUAUCAACGGAUGCCGUGCCGAAGCUAACGCAUUAAGUACCCCGCCUGGGGAGUACGG